GGCGAUCAGAUACCGCCCUAGUUCUGACCGUAAACGAUGCCAACUAGCGAUCCGCCAGUCGACUCAUCGCUCUGGUGGGGAGCUUCCCGGAAACGAAAGUCUUCCGGUUCCGGGGGAAGUGUGGUUGCAAAGCUGAAACUUAAAGGAAUUGACGGAAGGGCACCACCAGGAGUGGAGCCUGCGGCUUAAUUUGACUCAACACGGGGAAACUCACCCGGCCCGGACACCGUAAGGAUUGACAGAUUGAUAGCUUUUUCAUGAUUCGGUGGAUGGUGGUGCAUGGCCGUUCUUAGUUCGUGGAGCGAUUUGUCUGGUUUAUUCCGAUAACGAGCGAGACUCUGGCCUACUAAAUAGUUGACGCAUUGCCACUGUGCGCACAACUUCUUAGAGGGAUUUUCGGUGUUUUCAACCGCACGAAAUUGAGCAAUAACAGGUCUGUGAUGCCCUUAGAUGUCCGGGGCUGCACGCGCGCUACACUGGCAAACGCAACGUGCCUGUCCUGCCCCGAAAGGAGCGGGUAAACCCCUGAAAUUUUGCCGUGAUUGGGAUCGGACAUUGCAACUAUUGUCCGUGAACGAGGAAUUCCUUGUAGGGGCGAGUCAUCAACUCGUCCCGAAUACGUCCCUGCCCUUUGUA
RNAcentral lists this ribosomal RNA (636 nucleotides) under Rotylenchulus reniformis. RNAcentral describes it as "SSU rRNA". It matches the Rfam family "Eukaryotic small subunit ribosomal RNA", at positions 1003 to 1664 of the family's 1831-position model. The record is from RNAcentral. Lineage: Eukaryota; Metazoa; Nematoda; Chromadorea; Rhabditida; Hoplolaimidae.